AUCAUCAAUUAGCGUACGCCCAGACCUAGGGUUUUAAAACUGCAGUGAUGAUUUCGAUUCGAUUCGGAUUCGAAUCGGCUUGAAUUCGUCUGAGAAAACCCUUGAAAUGGCAGAUUUGAGGAAUAUUCCAACGAUUAUGGUGUAACUCGUUAGAAAUCGAGAUCAGUGACCGCCGAUUCUGAUCUGAAUUCGGCGAUUCCUGAUCCGAUUCGCGGAUUCUUUAAACCCUUCCCAGCCCAUGCAAGUUGGCGCCACUGUGUAUUCUUUGCGACUCUGUGUCGCGUCGUUACUCCCUAGUCCUCGUCUCUCACUCUCUCUCUCUCUCUUCCAUCUUGCAGUUUCCAGCCAAAGCCAAUACCUAACUUAGAAAGUUGAAGUGGUUUGGCCAUUAACAGUAUCUUCCUUUCUUUCGUUCGUCCACAAAAUGGCUCUGAAGUGGCUUUGCCGACGCAACAAACAUGAGUGCGAGUUCUUCGAAUUCAUUGGCGGCAGGUGGCUCAGGAAAGAAGGUUAGGAAACCUUAUACCAUCACCAAGUCCAGGGAAGUAUGGACUGAUGAAGAGCACUCUAAGUUUCUUGAUGCUCUGCAACUGUAUAAUCGUGACUGGAAGAAGAUUGCAGAUUUUGUCGAUUCAAAGACUGUAAUUCAGAUACGGAGCCAUGCCCAAAAAUACUUUCUGAAGGCCCAGAAAAGUGGUAUAAUAGUCCAUGUACCUCCUCCUCGCCCCAAGUGUAAAGCUGCUAAUCCUUAUCCGCGGAAGGCACCCAAAAAUGCUGAUAAUGGACCAGAGGGGGUUACAAGGACAGGUAACAACAGCUUUAAUGGUAUUGGAAGCUCAAGUAGAUCUUCUCCCAGUUGUGACAUACCAAGUCAAGGAAAGAAAGGGUCUCUACUUCAUGGUACUCCAGACUUUCCUAAAAUAUAUCGUUUCAUUGGAAGUGUCUUUGACCCAGACUCCAAAGGUCAUGUCCAGAAGCUUAAGGAGAUGGAUCCCAUUGAUAUUGAAACAGCCUUGCUGCUGAUGAGAAACCUGAACAUCAAUUUGUCUACCCUGAUUUCGAACCAAGUCAAUCAACUCCAAAUUCAUGCAGGCGAGAAGAUCCCAUCCUUGAAUGAGGCGUUUUAUCAGAUUCAACGAAUUGUAUCUCCCUCCGCCAAGUCUGAAUCAUCCUCUUCUAAAGAUAAUUCAGCACUUAUUUCAAAGAGUGGAGGUUGUGGUUGUGGUGCUAGUUUUCCUGGCAGAGGUCGAUGUUUGGGGGGAGGCCAAGGUCAUGGUGGAGGUAAAGGCAAAGGACAACCACUAGAUCUAGGCAUGCGUCAAUGUACAUAUUGUGGAAAGAUUAAUCACACUAUUGAUACAUGUUGGGCCGAGCAUGGUAAACCCAAGUGGGCUCAGAAAUUGUAUGCUACUACUAUUACACUUGAUCAGAGUUCUACAGCGGCGUCAUCUUCCGACACAAAUCAUGCUUCUACAUCUGGAGGUAUUGGUGCAUUUCUUGCCUCCUCUUCUACACCGUGUGUCAUCGACUCUGGUGCCACCUCUCAUAUGACUGGUUUACGAGUGCCAUCCCAAAGUGACUUCAACUAUUCUUGGUGAUUCUUCGCUGCCACCCUCUACUCCAUAAGACUCUUUGCCUGAGGAUUCUUUCUCCAUUGACUUUCCCAUUGCUCUUUGUAAAGGCCAUGGGAGUUUUGAAUGUAAUGGUUAGAGAUGGCAUUGAAACUCAGCAUCCCUUGCAGCUGCAGAUUUUAGAAUUCGAGGAUGUGAUAAAUGCCCAUUGACCUCUCAAGGAAAACUUUCUGCUGGGCACCAGAUAGUAAACUUCAACUGGAUUUUGUCUGUCACCGUGGGCUGUCGGAGUUCCAAUGUCUGCCUCUGCUGUUGUUUGCUGGUCACUUUUGAUGAACAGCUACAGAAGACUUGUGAAGUUGGAUAACCUUGAGACUAUAGGCAUGGUUGAGUAACCAGUGAUGAGAAAGGUUGAUUCAGUUUGUAAACAUGCACAUGCAACAGUGGAAGUUGCUUUAACAAAAAACAGUAAAAAAGGCUUCCCUGACUAAAUCUAGGUCAUUGAAUGGACAUGUUGAAGAUGGUUCUUCAGAGACACAGACCUACAACAUCCAAAUUUUUCACAAGAGCAUUGGUUGUAAGAGGGCCUCUGUACUCUGUUUUGGAAAUGGUGUCACCCUCUAAUAUAGUCUUUCAACAUCUAAAAGAUUCUGGAUAUGCAUUGUAUGAAUCCACACAGAUUGAGUAGUUUAUAAUGUUUGUUUAUACUUUAUACACAAAAUUCCUACACAAAACCUCAGAAUUUUGGUGAACUGAAAUGAAAUGAUGGGAUUGGUCAAGGCUAUUCCCCCUUCCCAAUG
RNA transcript from Macadamia integrifolia, 2371 nucleotides. It is a transcript of the gene named protein REVEILLE 8-like, with no coding region annotated. The record is from RefSeq and is a predicted model, not a curated record. Lineage: Eukaryota; Viridiplantae; Streptophyta; Magnoliopsida; Proteales; Proteaceae. The transcript has 10 exons.